AAAAAAGUUACCGUCACGCGGUAAAAUUCUUCAGUCCUCACAGGCCUUCUACUUUUUCACACGUGUAAGUACCGUCACCUCACAGUCACGUUUCUGUACUUCAUUUGUUUAUCUCUCUGUCUUUGUCCUUUCCGUUUCCUUUUCUCUCUACUGUGUAGCGGUCAGCAUCGAAAGAGGAUAUGUGACGAAGACGAGACCCACUCCUGACGUUACACGUGUUUUUUAAAUAAGAAAAAUCGCGAGUGCAUAAUUUGGUAUAUAAUUUGGAUCUACCUCAGCAAUAAGCAUCUUUGUUCUUCGAUUCUGGGCAUCUCUUAUCAGAUCCCACCACCCACUUGCUUCAUCCAACGGCUCUCCUUCCAUCUUACCUGCCUUUAUAUCCCCAUUUUCUCUCCUCGCCUCAUUCACCCCUCCACAACCUUGAAUGAACACACCUUAACCCUCCAGUAACGGACCUCGAAACCACCAUGAACGUCUUGGAUUCUCCUCUUGAAGCUUUGGCUAUUAAUUAUGUGAGCUUUGGGAUCUUCACCGUCGUCAAUAAUCUAUGGACAUGGGUGGCACUUAUAACGGCGGUUGUCAGCUUCUGGAAAAUCAGAAACGCCGGUGUCGCUGGAGCCUCCACAUUCUCCUUGAAAUCGGAGCAACUUUCUUCAGCUAAUUGCAUUGACGUCCGGAACGUAAAUGAGCCUAAACCGGUUGUCGAAACAUCCGUACCCGAGUCAGCUAUUCAGCCACCGCCGUCACCACCACCAUCAUCUGCAAGCCCAGCUACAUUUUCAUCUGUUUUUGAAGAUGACGGAGUUACGAGAGGGAAGUUUGUAAAGUAUUACGUAGAUGAAAGAGAGAGUGAUGAUAACGGAGACGAUGAGUUAACGGUGGUUGGAGAGUGGGGAUAUGGAAACAGAGGUUGUGGAGAGUGGUCGGAGAGCUGGGAGAGAGUGUUAAGGAUGAGAACGGGGGACAUGGGAUGGUACAUGUACCAGGAUUUGACGGCGAUUAACGGCAACGUCGUUAGGUUAUGGGAUGGGAUUAGGAGGAGGAGAAGUCAGGCUGUGGUGUAUGGUAACUGGUAGGCGAUUAUACACAGAAGCUUUUUUCUGGCUUCUGGAUUAAAGUUUAUAAAUGUAAAUAUAUAUUGUCGGAUUGAGCAAACCUUGUGUAGCAAAAUAACGCUAAAUGUUGCAUUUAUUGUUAUGCUAUUGACAUUUGGGUUCAGAAAAAUUCUGAAAAUCAUGUAUUUAAUAGACAAUCACAUUAUAU
RNAcentral lists this unclassified non-coding RNA (1263 nucleotides) under Hevea brasiliensis (rubber tree). Lineage: Eukaryota; Viridiplantae; Streptophyta; Magnoliopsida; Malpighiales; Euphorbiaceae. The record is from RNAcentral.